GAUGAACGCUGGCGGCGUGCCUAAUACAUGCAAGUCGAGCGAACAGACGAGGAGCUUGCUCCUCUGACGUUAGCGGCGGACGGGUGAGUAACACGUGGAUAACCUACCUAUAAGACUGGGAUAACUUCGGGAAACCGGAGCUAAUACCGGAUAAUAUAUUGAACCGCAUGGUUCAAUAGUGAAAGACGGUUUUGCUGUCACUUAUAGAUGGAUCCGCGCCGCAUUAGCUAGUUGGUAAGGUAACGGCUUACCAGGGCAACGAUGCGUAGCCGACCUGAGAGGGUGAUCGGCCACACUGGAACUGAGACACGGUCCAGACUCCUACGGGAGGCAGCAGUAGGGAAUCUUCCGCAAAGGGCGAAAGCCUGACGGAGCAACGCCGCGUGAGUGAUGAAGGUCUUCGGAUCGUAAAACUCUGUUAUUAGGGAAGAACAAAUGUGUAAGUAACUAUGCACGUCUUGACGGUACCUAAUCAGAAAGCCACGGCUAACUACGUG
RNAcentral lists this ribosomal RNA (497 nucleotides) under uncultured bacterium. RNAcentral's name for it is "partial 16S ribosomal RNA". It matches the Rfam family "Bacterial small subunit ribosomal RNA", at positions 28 to 507 of the family's 1533-position model. The record is from RNAcentral.